GACGAACGCUGGCGGCGUGCUUAACACGUGCAAGUCGAACGGAAAGGCCCCCACCUUGGUGGGGGUGCUCGAGUGGCGAACGGGUGAGUAACACGUGGGUGAUCUGCCCUGUACUUCGGGAUAAGCUUGGGAAACUGGGUCUAAUACCGGAUAGGACCAUGGUUUAGUGUCUCAUGGUGGAAAAAUUAUUGUUUUGGUGCAGGAUGAGCUCGCGGCCUAUCAGCUUGUUGGUGGGGUAAUGGCCUACCAAGGCGUCGACGGGUAGCCGGCCUGAGAGGGUGGACGGCCACAUUGGGACUGAGAUACGGCCCAGACUCCUACGGGAGGCAGCAGUGGGGAAUAUUGCACAAUGGGCGCAAGCCUGAUGCAGCGACGCCGCGUGGGGGAUGACGGCCGUCGGGUUGUAAACUCCUUUCGUUAGGGACGAAGCCACACCUUUUUUGGGUGUGGUGACGGUACCUUUGUUAAGAAGCACCGGCUAACUACGUG
RNAcentral lists this ribosomal RNA (489 nucleotides) under uncultured bacterium. Its description in RNAcentral is "partial 16S ribosomal RNA". It matches the Rfam family "Bacterial small subunit ribosomal RNA", at positions 28 to 507 of the family's 1533-position model. The record is from RNAcentral.